This 440-nucleotide ribosomal RNA is filed under the name uncultured bacterium. Its description in RNAcentral is "partial 16S ribosomal RNA". It matches the Rfam family "Bacterial small subunit ribosomal RNA", at positions 338 to 795 of the family's 1533-position model. The record is from RNAcentral.
CCUACGGGUGGCAGCAGUGGGGGAUAUUGCACAAUGGGGGAAACCCUGAUGCAGCGACGCCGCGUGGGGGAAGACGGUCCUCUGGAUUGUAAACCACUGUCCCCAGGGACGAAGAUGACGGUACCUGGGGAGGAAGCUCCGGCUAACUACGUGCCAGCAGCCGCGGUAAUACGUAGGGAGCGAGCGUGGUCCGGAAUUACUGGGUGUAACGGGAGCGUAGGCGGGACUGCAAGUUGGGUGUCAAAUCUACCGGCUCAACCGGUAGCCGCACUCGAAACUGCAGUUCUUGAGUGAAGUAGAGGCAGGCGGAAUUCCUAGUGUAGCGGUGAAAUGCGUAGAUAUUAGGAGGAACACCAGUGGCGAAGGCGGCCUGCUGGGCUUUUACUGACGCUGAGGCUCGAAAGUGUGGGGAGCAAACAGGAUUAGAUACCCUUGUAGUC